CCUACGGGAGGCAGCAGUGGGGAAUAUUGCACAAUGGGGGAAACCCUGAUGCAGCGACGCCGCGUGAGUGAAGAAGGAUUUCGGUAUGUAAAGCUCUAUCAGCAGGGAAGAAAAUGACGGUACCUGAGCAAGAAGCCCCGGCUAACUACGUGCCAGCAGCCGCGGUAAUACGGAGGGGGCAAGCGUUAUCCGGAUUUACUGGGGGUAAAGGGAGCGUAGACGGUUUUUCAAGUCAGAAGUGAAAGCCCGGGGCUCAACUCCGGGACUGCUUUUGAAACUGUGUGACUGGAGUGCAGGAGAGGUAGGCGGACUUCCUGGUGUAGCGGUGAACUGCGUCGAUAUCAGGAGGAACCCCAGUGGCGACGGCGGCUUACUGGACUGUAACUGACGUUGAGGCUCGAAAGCGUGGGGAGCACACAGGAUUAGAUACCCUUGUAGUC
This 440-nucleotide ribosomal RNA is filed under the name uncultured bacterium. RNAcentral's name for it is "partial 16S ribosomal RNA". It matches the Rfam family "Bacterial small subunit ribosomal RNA", at positions 338 to 795 of the family's 1533-position model. The record is from RNAcentral.